Molecule: non-coding RNA, 294 nt
Organism: Staphylococcus saprophyticus
Lineage: Bacteria; Bacillati; Bacillota; Bacilli; Caryophanales; Staphylococcaceae
Source: Rfam
AACUUGAGAUUGCUCAGGAUUAAUAAAAUGAACGUGUGUAUCGAUGCCACCAGCGGUAACAAUCUUACCUUCAGCAGAUACUACGUCAGUCGUAGCCCCAAUAAUAAUAUCUACGUUAUCCAUAAUAUCUGGGUUGCCAGCCUUACCGAUUUUCAUUAUAUAGCCGUUUUUUACACCGAUAUCAGCUUUAAUAAUUUUGUUAUAAUCGAUAAUCAUAGCAUUGGUUAUGACGAGGUCGGCAACGUUUUUAUCGUCACGUGUUACGUUAGGAUUUUGAGACAUGCCAUCUCUAAU